UGGGGAAUAUUGCGCAAUGGGGGGAACCCUGACGCAGCCAUGCCGCGUGAAUGAAGAAGGCCUUAGGGUUGUAAAGUUCUUUCGGUAUUGAGGAAGGUUGAUGUGUUAAUAGCACAUCAAAUUGACGUUAAAUACAGAAGAAGCACCGGCUAACUCCGUGCCAGCAGCCGCGGUAAUACGGAGGGUGCGAGCGUUAAUCGAAAUAACUGGGCGUAAAGGGCACGCAGGCGGUUAUUUAAGUGAGGUGUGAAAGCCCCGGGCUUAACCUGGGAAUUGCAUUUCAGACUGGGUAACUAGAGUACUUUAGGGAGGGGUAGAAUUCCACGUGUAGCGGUGAAAUGCGUAGAGAUGUGGAGGAAUACCGAAGGCGAAGGCAGCCCCUUGGGAAUGUACUGACGCUCAUGUGCGAAAGCGUGGGGAGCAAACAGGAUUAGAUACCCUGGUAGUCCACGCUGUAAACGCUGUCGAUUUGGGGGUUGGGGUUUAACUCUGGCGCCCGUAGCUAACGUGAUAAAUCGACCGCCUGGGGAGUACGGCCGCAAGGUUA
This 547-nucleotide ribosomal RNA is filed under the name uncultured bacterium. RNAcentral's name for it is "bacterial SSU rRNA". It matches the Rfam family "Bacterial small subunit ribosomal RNA", at positions 355 to 896 of the family's 1533-position model. The record is from RNAcentral.